AUUGAACGCUGGCGGCAGGCCUAACACAUGCAAGUCGAACGAGUGGCAGGGGGGUGUGUAAUGUCGGGGAAACGGCCCGCUGGAGGGGAAUAACUACUGGAAACGGUUGCAAUUACCGCAUUCCAUCGGAUGAUCCCAGAUGGGAUUAGCGAGUAGGUGGGGUAAAGGCUCACCUAGGCGCCGAUCCCUAGCUGGUCUGAGAGGAUGACCAGCCACACUGGAACUGAGACACGGUCCAGACUCCUACGGGAGGCAGCAGUGGGGAAUAUUGCACAAUGGGCGCAAGCCUGAUACAGCCAUGCCGCGUGUAUGAAGAAGGCCUUCGGGUUUUAAAGUACUUUCAGCGAGGAGGCGUUACUCGCAGAAGAAGCACCGGCUAACUCCGUGCCAGCAGCCGCGGUAAUAC
RNAcentral lists this ribosomal RNA (406 nucleotides) under uncultured bacterium. RNAcentral describes it as "partial 16S ribosomal RNA". It matches the Rfam family "Bacterial small subunit ribosomal RNA", at positions 30 to 526 of the family's 1533-position model. The record is from RNAcentral.